RNAcentral lists this ribosomal RNA (253 nucleotides) under uncultured bacterium. RNAcentral describes it as "partial 16S ribosomal RNA". It matches the Rfam family "Bacterial small subunit ribosomal RNA", at positions 524 to 776 of the family's 1533-position model. The record is from RNAcentral.
UACAGAGGUCUCAAGCGUUGUUCGGAUUCAUUGGGCGUAAAGGGUGCGUAGGUGGCGCGCUAAGUCAGGUGUGAAAUUUCGGAGCUUAACUCCGAAACUGCAUUUGAUACUGGCGUGCUUGAGGACUGGAGAGGAGACUGGAAUUUAUGGUGUAGCAGUGAAAUGCGUAGAGAUCAUGAGGAAGACCAGUGGCGAAGGCGGGUCUCUGGACAGUUCCUGACACUGAGGCACGAAGGCCAGGGGAGCAAACGGG